GGAGUUAGCCGGUGCUUCUUCUGUGAGUGAUGUCCUUCCUGCCGGUUAUUGACCCGCAGGCCUUCUUCCUCACUGAAAGUGCUUUACAACCCGAAGGCCUUCUUCACACACGCGGCAUGGCUGGAUCAGGGUUGCCCCCAUUGUCCAAUAUUCCCCACUGCUGCCUCCCGUAGGAGUCUGGGCCGUGUCUCAGUCCCAGUGUGGCUGAUCAUCCUCUCAGACCAGCUACGGAUCGUCGCCUUGGUGAGCCGUUACCUCACCAACCAGCUAAUCCGACAUAGGCUCAUCCGAUAGCGCGAGGCCCGAAGGUCCCCCGCUUUCCCCCGUAGGGCGUAUGCGGUAUUAGCCUGGGUUUCCCCCAGGUUAUCCCCCGACUACCGGGCAGAUUCCUAUGCAUUACUCACCCGUCCGCCGCUCGCCACCAGGGAGCAAGCUCCCCGUGCUGCCGCUCGACUUGCAUGUGUUAGGCCUGCCGCCAGCGUUCAAUCUGAGCCAGAUCAAACUCUGA
This 508-nucleotide ribosomal RNA is filed under the name uncultured bacterium. Its description in RNAcentral is "partial 16S ribosomal RNA". The record is from RNAcentral.